RNAcentral lists this ribosomal RNA (247 nucleotides) under uncultured bacterium. Its description in RNAcentral is "partial 16S ribosomal RNA". It matches the Rfam family "Bacterial small subunit ribosomal RNA", at positions 46 to 305 of the family's 1533-position model. The record is from RNAcentral.
GCCUAAUACAUGCAAGUCGAGCGCGCCCUUCGGGGUGAGCGGCGGACGGGUGAGUAACGCGUGUGCAACCUACCUCAUACUGGAGGAUAGCCCUUGGAAACGAGGAUUAAUACUCCAUGGUAUCAUGAAUUCGCAUGUUUUUAUGAUUAAAGUUUUUCGGUAUGAGAUGGGCAUGCGUCCCAUUAGCUAGUUGGUGAGGUAACGGCUCACCAAGGCGACGAUGGGUAGGGGGCCUGAGAGGGUGGUC